CCUACGGGAGGCUGCAGUGGGGAAUAUUGGGCAAUGGGCGCAAGCCUGACCCAGCAACGCCGCGUGAAGGAAGAAGGCUUUCGGGUUGUAAACUUCUUUUCUCAGGGACGAAGCAAGUGACGGUACCUGAGGACUAAGCCACGGCUAACGACGUGCCAGCAGCCGCGGUAAUACGUAGGUGGCAAGCGUUAUCAGGAUUUACUGGGUGUAAAGGGCGUGUAGGCGGGGACGCAAGUCAGAUGUGAAAACCACGGGCUCAACCUGUGGCCUGCAUUUGAAACUGUGUUGCUUGAGUACUGGGGAGGCAGACGGAAUUCGUGGUGUAGCGGUGAAAUGCGUAGAUAUUAGGAGGAACACCAGUGGCGAAGGCGGUCUGCUGGACAGCAACUGACGCUGAGGCGCGAAAGCGUGGGGAGCAAACAGGAUUAGAUACCCGAGUAGUC
Molecule: ribosomal RNA, 443 nt
Filed under: uncultured bacterium
Lineage: Bacteria
Description: partial 16S ribosomal RNA
Rfam family: Bacterial small subunit ribosomal RNA
Source: RNAcentral